UCCUUCCCUCCAAGAACUUCCCACCUUGCUCUUGGGGAGACUCGAACUAAGGGUUUNNNNNNNNNNNNNNNNNNNNNNNNNCUCCAAGAACUUCCCACCUUGCUCUUGGGGAGACUCGAACUCACAACCUCUCAGUUGGAAGUGGGGGUUGCUUACCAUCAGUGCAACCCCUCUUGUCUAAGUAAGUGCCAUAAAACAACUAAUUAAAACUAGAGAGGAAGCAACCCAACAUGGAGAAGAAUAAGGUCAACUGACAAUUCUACAAAAACUUAACAGUAGUGCCAUGAGUUAGGACAAUGAUAAAUCAAAUAGUUAAUAAUACCAACAAUCCCCAACAAAGAAUACAUUUGGGUAGAAUCAAUCACAAGAGCAGCACAACAUCCAGAGGAAUAUAACUUGUUGCAGCUGGCACGCGGACAGAACGAGCAGAUCAGCAGGUUAACGUAAGUGUUUUAACAAUAAAGUCCAGUGACGUAGCUUACGCCACGCACUUUGCAGGCAGACUUAAACCAGAUCAAGGAGGCACACAAAUCUUUAUCAACAAGAUGGACUAGGAGAGUUUCAGAUUCAAACCAUUAAGGAACGAUCACACUUAGCAAGAAACUGCCACUAAUCAAAAACUGAUUUUAGCCAAAUUAAUAGCAUAUACAACAACUACCCAGUAUAGUCUCACAAAGUGGGGUCUGGGGAAGGUAAUAUGUAGACGGGCCUUACCCCUACCCGAAAGCGCAGAGAGGCUGUUUCCAAUCGACCCUC
Molecule: long non-coding RNA, 756 nt
Filed under: Nicotiana benthamiana
Lineage: Eukaryota; Viridiplantae; Streptophyta; Magnoliopsida; Solanales; Solanaceae
Description: long non-coding RNA (NBEN_LNC017828)
Source: RNAcentral